UGGCGCACGGGUGAGUAACACGUGGAUAAUGUGCCAUUUAGUGGGGAAUAACUGACCGAAAGGUCAGCUAAUACCGCAUGAGACCACAGUCCCUGAGGGGACCGAGGUUAAAGAUUUAUCGCUAAAUGAUCAGUCUGCGUAAGAUUAGCUAGUUGGUGAGGUAAUGGCUCACCAAGGCAACGAUCUUUAGGUGGUCUGAGAGGAUGACCACCCACACUGGAACUGAGACACGGUCCAGACUCCUACGGGAGGCAGCAGUAGGGAAUAUUGCACAAUGGGGGAAACCCUGAUGCAGCGACGCCGCGUGAGUGAUGAAGGCCUUCGGGUCGUAAAGCUCUGUUGAACGGGAAGAAACAAAUGACGGUACCGUUUAAGAAAGGAUCGGCUAACUUCGUGCCAGCAGCCGCGGUAAUACGAGGGAUCCUAGCGUUGUUCGGAAUCAUUGGGCGUAAAGAGUAUGUAGGCGGCCUAGUAAGUCAGUUGUGAAAGCCCCGGGCUCAACCCGGGAAGUGCAAUUGAUACUGCUUGGCUUGAAUGUGGAAGAGGGCAGUAGAAUUCCAGGUGUAGUGGUGAAAUACGUAGAUAUCUGGAGGAAUACCGGUGGCGAAGGCGGCUGCCUGGUCCUACAUUGACGCUGAGAUACGAAAGCGUGGGGAGCAAACAGGAUUAGAUACCCUGGUAGUCCACGCUGUAAACGAUGAACACUUGUUGUUGGAGGUAUUGACCCCUUCAGUGACGAAGCUAACGCGUUAAGUGUUCCGCCUGGGGAGUACGGUCGCAAGAUUAAAACUCAAAGAAAUUGACGGGGGCCCGCACAAGCGGUGGAGCAUGUGGUUUAAUUCGAUGCAACGCGAAAAACCUUACCUAGGCUCGAAAUGUACAGGAAGUUAGCAGAGAUGUUAACGUCUUCGGACCUG
RNAcentral lists this ribosomal RNA (917 nucleotides) under uncultured bacterium. RNAcentral describes it as "bacterial SSU rRNA". It matches the Rfam family "Bacterial small subunit ribosomal RNA", at positions 96 to 1030 of the family's 1533-position model. The record is from RNAcentral.